GGCCACCCUCUGCGGGGGGUCCAGGGCCGCCCAGACCCCACACACGAGCCGUGGGCCAUGCUCAGCCACCACCCAGGCCACACCUGCCCCCUGACCUCACCACCCUCAACCCCAUGGCUCUCUGUCUUUGCAGUCAUCCUCUGACCCUAACAUGCCCCGCUUCCAGACCCUGUGCAUAGCAGGUCUACCCCAGACCUCCACUGCUUGGUGCAUGCAGGGAGUUGGGGACCAGGUGUCCCCUCAGCAGGAUGUCCCUGCCCUCCAGACCGCCAGGUGCUCACACAAAAGGAGGCAGUGACCGGCAUCCCAGGCCCCCACCCAGGCAGGAGCUGGCCCUGGAGCCAACCGCGUCCACACCAGCCUCCUGAACACAGGCGUGGUUUCCAGAUGCCCGCAGCCAAUCAGCCUCCAUUCCCGGCCCUCCCGUGAACUCCUGACAUGAGGAAUGAGGUUGUUCUGAUUUCAAGCAAAGAAUGCUGCUCUCUGGCUCCUGGGAACAGUCUCGGUGCCAGCACCACCCCUUGGCUGCCUGCCUACACUGCUGGAUUCUCGGGUGGAACUCAACCCGCAGGGACAGCCAGCCCCAGAGUCUGCAUUGGGAAGAGAAGGGGCCAGGCCCAGGACACUGCCACCUCCCACCCACUCCAGUCCACCGAGAUCACUCAGAGAAGAGCCUGGGCCAUGUGGCCGCUGCAGGAGCCCCACAGUGCAAGGGUGAGGAUAGCCCAAGGAAGGGCUGGGCAUCUGCCCAGACAGGCCUCCCACAGAAGGCUGGUGACCAGGUCCCAGGCGGGCAAGACUCAGCCUUGGUGGGGCCUGAGGACAGAGGAGGCCCAGGAGCAUCGGGGAGAGAGGUGGAGGGACACCGGGAGAGCCAGGAGCGUGGACACAGCCAGAACUCAUCACAGAGGCUGGCGUCCAGCCCCGGGGCACAUGCAGCAGGAACAAGCAGCCACUCUGGGGGCACCAGGUGGAGAGGCAAGAUGACAAAGAGGGUGCCCGUGUUCUUGCGAAAGCGGGGCUGCUGGCCACAAGUGCUGGACAGAGGCCCCCACGCUCUGCUGCCCCCAUCACGCCGUUCCGUGACUGUCACGCAGAAUCCGCAGACAGGAAGGGAGGCUCGAGCGGGAGUGCGGCCAGCGCCUGCCUCGGCCGUCAGGGAGGACUCCCGGGCUCACUCGAAGGAGGUGCCACCAUUUCAGCUUUGGUAGCUUUUCUUCUUCUUUUAAAUUUUCUAAAGCUCAUUAAUUGUCUUUAAUGUUUCUUUUUUGAUGACAAUAAAAUAUCCUUUUUAAGUCUUGUA
Long non-coding RNA from Pan troglodytes (chimpanzee), 1303 nucleotides. RefSeq lists it as uncharacterized. The transcript has 2 exons. The record is from RefSeq and is a predicted model, not a curated record. Lineage: Eukaryota; Metazoa; Chordata; Mammalia; Primates; Hominidae.